RNAcentral lists this ribosomal RNA (463 nucleotides) under uncultured bacterium. RNAcentral's name for it is "partial 16S ribosomal RNA". It matches the Rfam family "Bacterial small subunit ribosomal RNA", at positions 28 to 505 of the family's 1533-position model. The record is from RNAcentral.
GACGAACGCUGGCGGCGUGCUUAACACAUGCAAGUCGAACGGAAAGGCCCUGCUUGCAGGGUACUCGAGUGGCGAACGGGUGAGUAACACGUGGGUGAUCUGCCCUGCACUUCGGGAUAAGCCUGGGAAACUGGGUCUAAUACCGGAUAGGAGCCAUUUUUAGUGUGAUGGUUGGAAAGUUUUUUCGGUGUAGGAUGAGCUCGCGGCCUAUCAGCUUGUUGGUGGGGUAAUGGCCUACCAAGGCGGCGACGGGUAGCCGGCCUGAGAGGGUGGACGGCCACAUGGGGACUGAGAUACGGCCCAGACUCCUACGGGAGGCAGCAGUGGGGAAUAUUGCACAAUGGGCGCAAGCCUGAUGCAGCGACGCCGCGUGGGGGAUGACGGCCUUCGGGUUGUAAACUCCUUUCGCUAGGGACGAAGCUUUUUGUGACGGUACCUAGAUAAGAAGCACCGGCUAACUACG